ACGGAAGGCAGCAGUGGGGAAUAUUGCACAAUGGGGGGAACCCUGAUGCAGCGACGCCGCGUGAGUGAAGAAGUAUCUCGGUAUGUAAAGCUCUAUCAGCAGGGAAGAAAAUGACGGUACCUGACUAAGAAGCCCCGGCUAACUACGUGCCAGCAGCCGCGGUAAUACGUAGGGGGCAAGCGUUAUCCGGAUUUACUGGGUGUAAAGGGAGCGUAGACGGCGGUGCAAGUCUGAUGUGAAAGCCCGGGGCUCAACCCCGGUACUGCAUUGGAAACUGUACUGCUAGAGUGCAGGAGAGGUAAGUGGAAUUCCUAGUGUAGCGGUGAAAUGCGUAGAUAUUAGGAGGAACACCAGUGGCGAAGGCGGCUUACUGGACUGUAACUGACGUUGAGGCUCGAAAGCGUGGGGAGCAAACAGGAUUAGAUACCCUGGUA
This 434-nucleotide ribosomal RNA is filed under the name uncultured Lachnospiraceae bacterium. Its description in RNAcentral is "partial 16S ribosomal RNA". It matches the Rfam family "Bacterial small subunit ribosomal RNA", at positions 341 to 792 of the family's 1533-position model. Lineage: Bacteria; Bacillati; Bacillota; Clostridia; Lachnospirales; Lachnospiraceae. The record is from RNAcentral.